CACUCCUGCGGGAGGCAGCAGUGGGGAAUUUUGGACAAUGGGCGAAAGCCUGAUCCAGCAAUGCCGCGUGUGUGAAGAAGGCCUUCGGGUUGUAAAGCACUUUUGUCCGGAAAGAAAUCCUUGGCUCUAAUACAGUCGGGGGAUGACGGUACCGGAAGAAUAAGCACCGGCUAACUACGUGCCAGCAGCCGCGGUAAUACGUAGGGUGCGAGCGUUAAUCGGAAUUACUGGGCGUAAAGCGUGCGCAGGCGGUUUGCUAAGACCGAUGUGAAAUCCCCGGGCUCAACCUGGGAACUGCAUUGGUGACUGGCAGGCUAGAGUAUGGCAGAGGGGGGUAGAAUUCCACGUGUAGCAGUGAAAUGCGUAGAGAUGUGGAGGAAUACCGAUGGCGAAGGCAGCCCCCUGGGCCAAUACUGACGCUCAUGCACGAAAGCGUGGGGAGCAAACAGGAUUAGAUACCCGGGUAGUCCCAUG
This 474-nucleotide ribosomal RNA is filed under the name uncultured organism. Its description in RNAcentral is "partial 16S ribosomal RNA". It matches the Rfam family "Bacterial small subunit ribosomal RNA", at positions 334 to 799 of the family's 1533-position model. The record is from RNAcentral.